UUCGACUAAGCCAUGCGAGUUCAGGGGGGCUUUGCCCACCGGCGGACGGCUCAGUAACACGUGGACAACCUGCCCUCGGGAGGGGGAUAACCCCUGGAAACCGGGACUAAACCCCCAUAGGUCACAGAUGCUGGAAGGCGCUGUGGCUCAAAUCCCUUCGGGAGCCCGAGGAUGGGUCUGCGGCCUGUCAGGUUGUAGUUAGGGUAACGGCCUAACUAGCCUACGACGGGUACGGGGUGUGAGAGCACUAGCCCGGAGAUGGACUCUGAGACACGAGUCCAGGCCCUACGGGGCGCAGCAGGCGCGAAACCUUCGCAAUGCAGGAAACUGCGACGAGGGAACUCCAAGUGCCUACGCUCAGCGUAGGCUGUUCUCAAGCCUAGAGAGCUCGAGGAGUAAGGGCUGGGUAAGACGGGUGCCAUCUGUGACGGAGUCAAAGAUUUGACUUGCGUACAAGGCAUAAGCCGCCGCGGUAAUACCCGCAGCCCAAGUGGUGGCCGCUUUUAUUGGGCCUAAAGCGUCCGUAGCCGGCCCGGUAAAUGCCUGGGUAAAUCGUGGAGCCCAACUUCACGAAUUCCGGGUAGACUGCCGAGCUCGGGACCGGAAGAGGGAGAGGGUACUUCAGGGGUAGGGGUGAAAUCAGCAGAGCAUCACUCUGAUGAUGUGAAUUGCUCUGCAAGUCACAAUCCUGUAAUCCCUGGAGGACCACCCGUGGCGAAGGCGCUCUCCUAAGACGGGCCCGACGGUGAGGGACGAAAGCCAGGGGAGCAAACCGGAUUAGAUACCCGGGUAGUCCUGGCCGUAAACGAUGUGGACUUGGCAUUCGGGUGGCCAUGAGCUGUCCGAGUGCCGUAGGGAAGCCGUUAAGUCCACCGCCUGGGGAGUACGGUCGCAAGGCUGAAACUUAAAGGAAUUGGCGGGGGAGCA
This 927-nucleotide ribosomal RNA is filed under the name uncultured euryarchaeote. RNAcentral's name for it is "bacterial SSU rRNA". It matches the Rfam family "Archaeal small subunit ribosomal RNA", at positions 39 to 878 of the family's 1478-position model. Lineage: Archaea; Methanobacteriati; Methanobacteriota. The record is from RNAcentral.